GAAGCCUAACUCCCAACCCCUGUGACAUACCAAUUGUUGCCUCGGCGGAUCAGCCCGCUCCCGGUAAAACGGGACGGCCCGCCAGAGGACCCCUAAACUCUGUUUCUAUAUGUAACUUCUGAGUAAAACCAUAAAUAAAUCAAAACUUUCAACAACGGAUCUCUUGGUUCUGGCAUCGAUGAAGAACGCAGCAAAAUGCGAUAAGUAAUGUGAAUUGCAGAAUUCAGUGAAUCAUCGAAUCUUUGAACGCACAUUGCGCCCGCCAGUAUUCUGGCGGGCAUGCCUGUUCGAGCGUCAUUUCAACCCUCAAGCCCCCGGGUUUGGUGUUGGGGAUCGGCGAGCCCUUGCGGCAAGCCGGCCCCGAAAUCUAGUGGCGGUCUCGCUGCAGCUUCCAUUGCGUAGUAGUAAAACCCUCGCAACUGGUACGCGGCGCGGCCAAGCCGUUAAACCCCCAACUUCUGAAUGUUGACCUCGGAUCAGGUAGGAAUACCCGCUGAACUUAAGCAUAUCAUAAGGCCGGAGGAAUUCCUCCCAUUUCC
Molecule: ribosomal RNA, 539 nt
Filed under: fungal sp. SK13
Lineage: Eukaryota; Fungi
Description: eukaryotic LSU rRNA
Rfam family: 5.8S ribosomal RNA (bases 144-297)
Source: RNAcentral